This 333-nucleotide ribosomal RNA is filed under the name uncultured eukaryote. RNAcentral describes it as "partial 18S ribosomal RNA". It matches the Rfam family "Eukaryotic small subunit ribosomal RNA", at positions 1470 to 1796 of the family's 1831-position model. The record is from RNAcentral.
CCCUUAGAUGUUCUGGGCUGCACGCGCGCUACACUGAUGCGCUCAACGAGUUUACGACCUUGCCCGGAAGGGUUGGGUAAUCUUUUUAAAACGCAUCGUGAUGGGGAUAGAUUAUUGCAAUUAUUAAUCUUUAACGAGGAAUUCCUAGUAAGCGCGAGUCAUCAGCUCGUGCUGAUUACGUCCCUGCCCUUUGUACACACCGCCCGUCGCUACUACCGAUUGAAUGGUUUAGUGAGAUCUUCGGAUUGGCGCCACUGCGGCUCAGCAAUGGGCUCGGUGGAUGCCGAAAAGUUGAUCAAACUUGAUCAUUUAGAGGAAGUAAAAGUCGUAACA